RNAcentral lists this ribosomal RNA (277 nucleotides) under uncultured bacterium. Its description in RNAcentral is "partial 16S ribosomal RNA". It matches the Rfam family "Bacterial small subunit ribosomal RNA", at positions 28 to 313 of the family's 1533-position model. The record is from RNAcentral.
GAUGAACGUUGGCGGCGUGCCUAACACAUGCAAGUCGAACGGCGAUAGCAAUAUCGGAGUGGCGCACGGGUGAGUAACACGUAGCUUACCUGGCUCAAAGCGCGGGAUAACGUUCCGAAAGGGAUGCUAAUACCGCAUAAGCUCACGGACUAUAGGGGUUGGUGAGAAAAGAGGCAACUCACUUUGAGAUGGGGCUGCGACCCAUCAGCUAGUUGGUGAGGUAAAGGCUUACCAAGGCAACGACGGGUAGGGACCUGAGAGGGUCGACCCCCCACAC